GAGAACACGGCACGGGGCUCAUCCAACUUCUGCAUGUGAAGCGCUCUGACACCCUCUUUAAGAGCCUCGCUCCAAGCUGCCACAUUGCUGCUACUAAUGGAAGAUUCACGUAGAGGAGGCUGGUGGGAAAUAUUAUCAGACAAGCUUUGAUGACGUACAAAGGUUGCAUCUGAGUCGGAGACCUGCACUCUUUCUGGUCCCUGCAAAGGCUUCCCACCCCACCCAGAAUUCCCUGUCACAUUCUGUGAUUAGAAUACGGACAUCCACCCACGAACUAAAAGCCAGGAAGUUUUGGCAAGAAAAAAAAUAAAGAAAUUCUAUUGGCUGGGCUGUCUCCCACUGUCCGUACAGGCGCCCGGCAGACGACACUUCCCAAGAUAAAACAAACGAUCACGCCACUGUAUUUAAUGGAAUUGGGAUGGUGGGUAGAUUUAGCGUCUUCAUCACUGACCUCCAUCAUGGCUCCCCAGACCUCGAUUCAGCCCUCUCACAGUUCACAAAUUCUAAAAGUCACCCUUGGUGCUUGAGCCAAAAGAGCAAGUGUAAGCGCGGAGCCUUUCACAUGUACCCGCGAGAGUCAGCACGCCUCGACCAACCCCGUCACUCAGGGGGCAGCCCACAUGGCAAAGCAAAAGGCCCGCACCCCCUGAGCAUCUCCUCGACUGCAUCCUGACACUCAGCAACCUGUUGUCGGCGCCGUCUUCUCGGCGUAAAGCUUCCCAAGCAAUAAAUCAGCUUCCUGCCUGGCUGUUCGGUACGGACUCAUCACUUCGCACAUC
RNAcentral lists this long non-coding RNA (779 nucleotides) under Rattus norvegicus (Norway rat). RNAcentral describes it as "long non-coding RNA NONRATT020008". Lineage: Eukaryota; Metazoa; Chordata; Mammalia; Rodentia; Muridae. The record is from RNAcentral.